RNAcentral lists this ribosomal RNA (463 nucleotides) under uncultured Streptococcus sp. RNAcentral's name for it is "bacterial SSU rRNA". It matches the Rfam family "Bacterial small subunit ribosomal RNA", at positions 916 to 1382 of the family's 1533-position model. The record is from RNAcentral. Lineage: Bacteria; Bacillati; Bacillota; Bacilli; Lactobacillales; Streptococcaceae.
GGGGCCCGCACAAGCGGUGGAGCAUGUGGUUAAUUCGAAGCAACGCGAAGAACCUUACCAGGUCUUGACAUCCCGAUGCUAUUUCUAGAGAUAGAAAGUACUUCGGUACAUCGGUGACAGGUGGUGCAUGGUUGUCGUCAGCUCGUGUCGUGAGAUGUUGGGUUAAGUCCCGCAACGAGCGCAACCCCUAUUGUUAGUUGCCAUCAUUCAGUUGGGCACUCUAGCGAGACUGCCGGUAAUAAACCGGAGGAAGGUGGGGAUGACGUCAAAUCAUCAUGCCCCUUAUGACCUGGGCUACACACGUGCUACAAUGGUUGGUACAACGAGUUGCGAGUCGGUGACGGCGAGCUAAUCUCUUAAAGCCAAUCUCAGUUCGGAUUGUAGGCUGCAACUCGCCUACAUGAAGUCGGAAUCGCUAGUAAUCGCGGAUCAGCACGCCGCGGUGAAUACGUUCCCGGGCCUU